This 253-nucleotide ribosomal RNA is filed under the name uncultured bacterium. RNAcentral's name for it is "partial 16S ribosomal RNA". It matches the Rfam family "Bacterial small subunit ribosomal RNA", at positions 524 to 776 of the family's 1533-position model. The record is from RNAcentral.
UACGGAGGAUGCAAGCGUUAUCCGGAAUGAUUGGGCGUAAAGCGUCCGCAGGUGGCGAUUCAAGUCGAUUGUCAAAGGUCUCGGCUCAACUGAGAACAGGCAGUGGAAACUGAACAGCUAGAGUGCGGUAGGGGUAGAGGGAAUUCCCGGUGUAGCGGUGAAAUGCGUAGAGAUCGGGAAGAACACCAGUGGCGAAAGCGCUCUACUAAACCGCAACUGACACUCAGGGACGAAAGCUAGGGGAGCGAAUGGG